UGGGGGAUAUCGCACAAUGGGCGAAAGCCUGAUGCAGCGACGCCGCGUGGGGGAUGAAGGCUUUCGGGUUGUAAACCUCUUUCGCUAUCGAACAAGGCCCGCUUAGGGUGGGUUGAGGGUAGGUGGAGAAGAAGCGCCGGCUAACUACGUGCCAGCAGCCGCGGUAAUACGUAGGGCGCGAGCGUUGUCCGGAAUUAUUGGGCGUAAAGGGCUUGUAGGCGGCUUGUUGCGCCUGCUGUGAAAACGCGGGGCUUAACUUCGCGCGUGCAGUGGAUACGGGCAGGCUUGAGUGUGGUAGGGGUGACUGGAAUUCCAGGUGUAGCGGUGGAAUGCGCAGAUAUCUGGAGGAACACCGAUGGCGAAGGCAGGUCACUGGGCCAUUACUGACGCUGAGGAGCGAAAGCAUGGGUAGCGAACAGG
This 420-nucleotide ribosomal RNA is filed under the name bacterium. Its description in RNAcentral is "partial 16S ribosomal RNA". It matches the Rfam family "Bacterial small subunit ribosomal RNA", at positions 355 to 776 of the family's 1533-position model. The record is from RNAcentral.